Arabis alpina (gray rockcress) is the source of this 106-nucleotide small nucleolar RNA. It matches the Rfam family "Plant small nucleolar RNA R71". Rfam says of the family: R71 is a member of the C/D box family of snoRNAs containing the C (UGAUGA) and D (CUGA) box motifs. Multiple nearly identical copies of this snoRNA have been identified in Arabidopsis, and it is thought to function as a 2'-O-ribose methylation guide for 18S ribosomal RNA. The record is from Rfam. NCBI's taxonomy places the organism in Eukaryota, Viridiplantae, Streptophyta, Magnoliopsida, Brassicales, Brassicaceae.
AACCCGUGAUGAGGACAGUCUCUCUCAUAUCCCUUAAACCUUUCCCACACAGCCUUGAAAGAUUCUGUCAGAUUCUGAACGAAAGUGGAGAUCUUAGCUCGUAGAU